UUCUGGCUCAGGAUGAACGCUAGCUACAGGCUUAACACAUGCAAGUCGAGGGGCAGCAUUGGAGUAGCAAUACUCAGAUGGCGACCGGCGCACGGGUGAGUAACACGUAUCCAACCUGCCGCUUACUCGGGGAUAGCCUUUCGAAAGAAAGAUUAAUACCCGAUGGUAUAAAGAGUUCGCAUGUUCUCUUUAUUAAAGAAUUUCGGUAAGCGAUGGGGAUGCGUUCCAUUAGAUAGUUGGCGGGGUAACGGCCCACCAAGUCUACGAUGGAUAGGGGUUCUGAGAGGAAGGUCCCCCACAUUGGAACUGAGACACGGUCCAAACUCCUACGGGAGGCAGCAGUGAGGAAUAUUGGUCAAUGGACGAGAGUCUGAACCAGCCAAGUAGCGUGAAGGAUGACUGCCCUAUGGGUUGUAAACUUCUUUUAUAAGGGAAUAAAGUGAGGGACGUGUCCCUCUUUGUAUGUACCUUAUGAAUAAGGAUCGGCUAACUCCGUGCCAGCAGCAGC
RNAcentral lists this ribosomal RNA (508 nucleotides) under uncultured bacterium. RNAcentral describes it as "bacterial SSU rRNA". It matches the Rfam family "Bacterial small subunit ribosomal RNA", at positions 17 to 518 of the family's 1533-position model. The record is from RNAcentral.